This 600-nucleotide ribosomal RNA is filed under the name uncultured Staphylococcus sp. RNAcentral's name for it is "bacterial SSU rRNA". It matches the Rfam family "Bacterial small subunit ribosomal RNA", at positions 902 to 1500 of the family's 1533-position model. The record is from RNAcentral. Lineage: Bacteria; Bacillati; Bacillota; Bacilli; Caryophanales; Staphylococcaceae.
CAAAGGAAUUGACGGGGACCCGCACAAGCGGUGGAGCAUGUGGUUUAAUUCGAAGCAACGCGAAGAACCUUACCAAAUCUUGACAUCCUUUGACCACUCUAGAGAUAGAGCUUUCCCCUUCGGGGGACAAAGUGACAGGUGGUGCAUGGUUGUCGUCAGCUCGUGUCGUGAGAUGUUGGGUUAAGUCCCGCAACGAGCGCAACCCUUGAUCUUAGUUGCCAUCAUUUAGUUGGGCACUCUAGGUUGACUGCCGGUGACAAACCGGAGGAAGGUGGGGAUGACGUCAAAUCAUCAUGCCCCUUAUGAUUUGGGCUACACACGUGCUACAAUGGAUAAUACAAAGGGCAGCGAAUCCGCGAGGCCAAGCAAAUCCCAUAAAAUUAUUCUCAGUUCGGAUUGUAGUCUGCAACUCGACUACAUGAAGCUGGAAUCGCUAGUAAUCGUAGAUCAGCAUGCUACGGUGAAUACGUUCCCGGGUCUUGUACACACCGCCCGUCACACCACGAGAGUUUGUAACACCCGAAGCCGGUGGAGUAACCUUUUAGGAGCUAGCCGUCGAAGGUGGGACAAAUGAUUGGGGUGAAGUCGUAACAAGGUAGC